Molecule: transfer RNA, 73 nt
Filed under: Felis catus (domestic cat)
Lineage: Eukaryota; Metazoa; Chordata; Mammalia; Carnivora; Felidae
Rfam family: tRNA
About the family: Transfer RNA (tRNA) molecules are approximately 80 nucleotides in length. Their secondary structure includes four short double-helical elements and three loops (D, anti-codon, and T loops).
Source: Rfam by way of RNAcentral
ACCUAGCUGGCUCAGUCUGUAGGGCAUGUGGUUUGUGAUCUCAGGGUCCUGAGUUCAAGCCCCAUGUUGGGUA